CUCAGGUACUGACUACCCGCUGAGACUCAAGCAUAUCAAUAAGCGGAGGAAAAGAUCUCAACAUGUAUUGCCUCAGUAACCGCGAGUGAAGCGGCAAAAGCUCAAAUGUGAAAUCCUUCGGGAGUUGUAAUUUGUAGGGAGGGGAGCCCCCGCGGGCUAGUGGCACCAAGUCUCUUGGAACAGGGCGCCUUAGAGGGUGAGAGCCCCGUAGCUACCACAAUAUCGUCUUGUGUCUCCUCUCCAAAGAGUCGAGUUGUUUGGGAAAGCAGCUCAAGUUGGGGUGUAAUUUCCAUCCAAAUCUAAAUUUCGGCGAGAGACCGAUAGCGAACAAGUACAGUGAUGGAAAGAUGAAAAGCACUUUGAAAAGAGAGUGAAACAGUACGUGAAAUUGUUGAAAGGGAAGGGCUUGCUUGCAGUCUCCGCCUUCGUGCCGGGCCAGCAUCGGUUGCUAGGGGUGGAUAAGGAACAAGGAAUGUAGCUCCUCGGAGUAUUAUACCUUGCGCGAUACACCCGCUGCGACCGAGGGCU
RNAcentral lists this ribosomal RNA (528 nucleotides) under Sungouiella intermedia. RNAcentral describes it as "[Candida] intermedia partial large subunit ribosomal RNA". It matches the Rfam family "Eukaryotic large subunit ribosomal RNA", at positions 19 to 630 of the family's 3401-position model. The record is from RNAcentral. Lineage: Eukaryota; Fungi; Ascomycota; Pichiomycetes; Serinales; Metschnikowiaceae.